UGGGGAAUUGUUCGCAAUGGGCGCAAGCCUGACGACGCAACGCCGCGUGGAGGACGAAGAUCUUCGGGUCGUAAACUCCUGUCGAGCGGGAAGAAACCCGCGGGGGUGAAUAAUCCCUGCGGCUGACGGUACCGCUAAAGGAAGCCCCGGCUAACUCCGUGCCAGCAGCCGCGGUAAUACGGGGGGGGCAAGCGUUGUUCGGAAUUACUGGGCGUAAAGGGCUCGUAGGCGGCCAACUAAGUCGGAUGUGAAAUCCCCAGGCUCAACCUGGGAACUGCAUCCGAUACUGGAUGGCUUGAAUCCGGGAGAGGGAUGCAGAAUUCCAGGUGUAGCGGUGAAAUGCGUAGAUAUCUGGAGGAAUACCGGUGGCGAAGGCGGCAUCCUGGACCGGCAUUGACGCUGAGGAGCGAAAGCCAGGGGAGCAAACGGGAUUAGAUACCCCGGUAGUCCUGGCCCUAAACGAUGAAUGCUUGGUGUGACGGGUAUCGAUCCCUGUCGUGCCGGAGCUAACG
This 512-nucleotide ribosomal RNA is filed under the name uncultured Acidobacteriota bacterium. RNAcentral's name for it is "bacterial SSU rRNA". It matches the Rfam family "Bacterial small subunit ribosomal RNA", at positions 355 to 857 of the family's 1533-position model. The record is from RNAcentral. Lineage: Bacteria; Pseudomonadati; Acidobacteriota.